RNAcentral lists this ribosomal RNA (274 nucleotides) under uncultured bacterium. Its description in RNAcentral is "partial 16S ribosomal RNA". It matches the Rfam family "Archaeal small subunit ribosomal RNA", at positions 473 to 747 of the family's 1478-position model. The record is from RNAcentral.
AAACCAGCACCUCAAGUUGUCAGGAGGAUUAUUGGGCCUAAAGCAUCCGUAGCCUGCUCUGUAAGUUUCCGGUUAAAUCCAUUUGCUCAACAAAUGGGCUGCCGGAAAAACUGCAAAGCUAGGGAGUGGGAGAGGUAGACGGUACUCGGUAGGAAGGGGUAAAAUCCUUUGAUCUAUUGAUGACCACCUGUGGCGAAGGCGGUCUACCAGAACACGUCCGACGGUGAGGGAUGAAAGCUGGGGGAGCAAACCGGAUUAGAAACCCCUGUAGUCC